CCGUGCCAGCAGCCGCGGUAAUACGGAGGGUGCGAGCGUUAAUCGGAAUUACUGGGCGUAAAGCGUACGCAGGCGGUUUGUUAAGCGAGAUGUGAAAGCCCCGGGCUCAACCUGGGAACUGCAUUUCGAACUGGCAAACUAGAGUGUGAUAGAGGGUGGUAGAAUUUCAGGUGUAGCGGUGAAAUGCGUAGAGAUCUGAAGGAAUACCGAUGGCGAAGGCAGCCACCUGGGUCAACACUGACGCUCAUGUACGAAAGCGUGGGGAGCAAACGGGAUUAGAUACCCCGGUAGUCCACGCCGUAAACGAUGUCUACUAGAAGCUCGGAACCUCGGUUCUGUUUUUCAAAGCUAACGCAUUAAGUAGACCGCCUGGGGAGUACGGCCGCAAGGUUAAAACUCAAAUGAAUUUGACGGGG
This 416-nucleotide ribosomal RNA is filed under the name uncultured bacterium. Its description in RNAcentral is "bacterial SSU rRNA". It matches the Rfam family "Bacterial small subunit ribosomal RNA", at positions 503 to 918 of the family's 1533-position model. The record is from RNAcentral.